RNAcentral lists this long non-coding RNA (509 nucleotides) under Linum usitatissimum (flax). RNAcentral describes it as "long non-coding RNA (LUSI_LNC001746)". The record is from RNAcentral. Lineage: Eukaryota; Viridiplantae; Streptophyta; Magnoliopsida; Malpighiales; Linaceae.
CAGUAGAAUGAGGAAGAAACGACGGCAAAAGGCGAUAGGUAAAUUCGUGAAGCCCCCACCGGAGGAUGAGGGGGAGAAUUCCACUAUGUCGGAUGUCCGGAGAUUGUUAUAGGAGGGAGAAUGGAUUUGUAUAACCUUGGGAAGUAAAAGAAGAGUUAGAGUGUAAGUUUGAUAAUUCAUUCUUUCAAUUGUUGUUUGAUUUGGGAACAUUUUAACACUUAAAUGUUUUGCAUAGAAAUAUCUUCUACUGGUGUAUUUGACAGGUGAGAAUUUGUAAUUAGAUAACUGGAGUGUUUGUCUUGAUAGCUCGUCUCUGGAGUAUCAAAAGAAAUUGUUUCGUCUCUGAAAACCGCUCUCGUGGGUGGAUGACAGCUCAGCAUUCACAAAAAUUCAGUUAGCCUCCAGUAGUCAGUCUGUUCUAACUAAAAUCAAAAGCAAAAAUCUCCAGUUCUCUCCCUAUUUCCUCUCACACUCACAGACGGUCAUUCUUUCCCCGCUGGCCAACCAUC